GGCGUAGCCGCGGUUCUUGAGCGUGCGCCGGCGCUGCUUCAGCUGGACGAUCUCCUCCUUGGACAGGCCCCGCAGGUGCUGGUUCAGCUCCCGCACGGACAUGGUCACCAGCUCCUCAUCCGUCAGGCUGGUGCCAUUUUCACCCGGCUCCCGCUUCACCUGGGGCACAGUGCAGGGGUCACAGGCCAAGCGGGCACGCCCACUGUGCCCCCCCACCCCAGCCCGAAGGCUCCUGUCCCUGCCCACUCACCUUCAAGGCCUUGUUUCCUUUAUUGGGGGUCGUCAUAACCCGGGGGCACAGCGAGCAGGCGCUCUCUGUAAGACAUGGAGCAGGAAGCAGCCCCUGCCCCACCCCAUCCAGGGUAUUUCACAAGGGCUCCCACAGUGAGCCACCCGGGGCCUGCCCAACGUGAAGGCUGGCGGAGUCAGCCCCUCGGAGCUGCAGCCUGCUCUCUGGUCCCUGCCCCGGGUUUGAUGCAGACAGAUGAGAGACUCCUCCAGAGGAGCCAGGAUCACUUCAGGAAAUUAUGGGCUGGGGGGCUUCUUACUCUCAUCAGGGGAG
Molecule: non-coding RNA, 562 nt
Filed under: Pongo abelii (Sumatran orangutan)
Lineage: Eukaryota; Metazoa; Chordata; Mammalia; Primates; Hominidae
Source: RNAcentral